Molecule: non-coding RNA, 121 nt
Organism: Caerostris extrusa
Lineage: Eukaryota; Metazoa; Arthropoda; Arachnida; Araneae; Araneidae
Source: the annotation of a GenBank genome assembly
AACGGCCAUACCAUGCUGAAUAUACCGUUUCUCGUUAGAUCACCGUAUACUAGCAAUAUGAAGUCAAGCAUCAUUGGGCGCUUGUAAUCAGUACUUGGGUGGUGACCACCUGGGAACACCA